CGGAAUUGUAGUUUAAUUAAAAUAUUAGCAUUGGAAGCUAAAGAAUAGGUCAUAACCUACAUUUCGA
This 67-nucleotide transfer RNA is filed under the name Bathytoma punicea. RNAcentral's name for it is "tRNA-Pro". It matches the Rfam family "tRNA". Rfam says of the family: Transfer RNA (tRNA) molecules are approximately 80 nucleotides in length. Their secondary structure includes four short double-helical elements and three loops (D, anti-codon, and T loops). The record is from RNAcentral. Lineage: Eukaryota; Metazoa; Mollusca; Gastropoda; Neogastropoda; Conidae.